GCUGACCCUAGAGUCAUUGCAGAUGUGGCUGCUGUGCCACAUAUGCAUCAGUAGAUGGCAGAGAGGAGAGAGGCUGUGUCCACACCCAGUGUUCUGACCUAUGAAUAUCUGAGUGAUCAGUGUAGCAUU
Molecule: small nucleolar RNA, 129 nt
Organism: Mastomys coucha (southern multimammate mouse)
Lineage: Eukaryota; Metazoa; Chordata; Mammalia; Rodentia; Muridae
Product: small nucleolar RNA SNORA17
Exons: 1
Source: RefSeq, a predicted model, not a curated record